Molecule: ribosomal RNA, 485 nt
Filed under: uncultured bacterium
Lineage: Bacteria
Description: partial 16S ribosomal RNA
Rfam family: Bacterial small subunit ribosomal RNA
Source: RNAcentral
AGUGAACGCUGGCGGCGUGCUUAACACAUGCAAGUCGAACGAGAACGGAAUAUAGCUUGCUAUAUUUGUCAGCUAAGUGGCGCACGGGUGAGUAAUGCAUAGAUAACCUGCCCUUAAGAAAGGAAUAACAGUUGGAAACGACUGCUAAUGCCCUAUAUGCCUUUAAUACAUAAGUAUGCAAGGGAAACGCUUUAGUGCUUAAGGAUGGGUCUGUAUGGUAUCAGCUUGUUGGUGAGGUAAUGGCUCACCAAGGCUAUGACGCCUAACUGGUUUGGGAGGAUGAUCAGUCACACUGGAACUGAGACACGGUCCAGACUCCUACGGGAGGCAGCAGUGGGGAAUAUUGCGCAAUGGACGAAAGUCUGAUGCAGCAACGCCGCGUGGAGGAUGACACAUUUCGGUGCGUAAACUCCUUUUAUAUAGGAAGAUAAUGACGGUACUAUAUGAAUAAGCACCGGCUAACUCCGUGCCAGCCGCCGCCGUAA